This 1436-nucleotide ribosomal RNA is filed under the name uncultured organism. Its description in RNAcentral is "SSU rRNA". It matches the Rfam family "Bacterial small subunit ribosomal RNA". The record is from RNAcentral.
UGCUUAACACAUGCAAGUCGAACGGAAAGGCCCUGCUUUUGUGGGGUGCUCGAGUGGCGAACGGGUGAGUAACACGUGAGUAACCUGCCCUUGACUUUGGGAUAACUUCAGGAAACUGGGGCUAAUACCGGAUAGGAGCUCCUGCUGCAUGGUGGGGGUUGGAAAGUUUCGGCGGUUGGGGAUGGACUCGCGGCUUAUCAGCUUGUUGGUGGGGUAGUGGCUUACCAAGGCUUUGACGGGUAGCCGGCCUGAGAGGGUGACCGGCCACAUUGGGACUGAGAUACGGCCCAGACUCCUACGGGAGGCAGCAGUGGGGAAUAUUGCACAAUGGGCGGAAGCCUGAUGCAGCAACGCCGCGUGCGGGAUGACGGCCUUCGGGUUGUAAACCGCUUUCGCCUGUGACGAAGCGUGAGUGACGGUAAUGGGUAAAGAAGCACCGGCCAACUACGUGCCAGCAGCCGCGGUGAUACGUAGGGAGCGAGCGUUGUCCGGAUUUAUUGGGCGUAAAGGGCUCGUAGGUGGUUGAUCGCGUCGGAAGUGUAAUCUUGGGGCUUAACCCUGAGUGUGCUUUCGAUACGGGUUGACUUGAGGAAGGUAGGGGAGAAUGGAAUUCCUGGUGGAGCGGUGGAAUGCGCAGAUAUCAGGAGGAACACCAGUGGCGAAGGCGGUUCUCUGGGCCUUUCCUGACGCUGAGGAGCGAAAGCGUGGGGAGCGAACAGGCUUAGAUACCCUGGUAGUCCACGCUGUAAACGGUGGGUACUAGGUGUGGGGUCCAUUCCACGGGUUCCGUGCCGUAGCUAACGCUUUAAGUACCCCGCCUGGGGAGUACGGCCGCAAGGCUAAAACUCAAAGGAAUUGACGGGGCCCCGCACAAGCGGCGGAGCAUGCGGAUUAAUUCGAUGCAACGCGUAGAACCUUACCUGGGUUUGACAUGGAUCGGGAGCGCUCAGAGAUGGGUGUGCCUCUUUUGGGGUCGGUUCACAGGUGGUGCAUGGCUGUCGUCAGCUCGUGUCGUGAGAUGUUGGGUUAAGUCCCGCAACGAGCGCAACCCUUGUUCACUGUUGCCAGCACGUUAUGGUGGGGACUCAGUGGAGACCGCCGGGGUCAACUCGGAGGAAGGUGGGGAUGACGUCAAGUCAUCAUGCCCCUUAUGUCCAGGGCUUCACGCAUGCUACAAUGGCUGGUACAGAGAGUGGCGAGCCUGUGAGGGUGAGCGAAUCUCGGAAAGCCGGUCUCAGUUCGGAUUGGGGUCUGCAACUCGACCUCAUGAAGUCGGAGUCGCUAGUAAUCGCAGAUCAGCAACGCUGCGGUGAAUACGUUCCCGGGGCUUGUACACACCGCCCGUCAAGUCAUGAAAGUUGGUAACACCCGAAGCCGGUGGCCUAACCGUUGUGGGGGAGCCGUCGAAGGUGGGACUGGUGAUUAGGACUAAAUGG